This is a long non-coding RNA of Sapajus apella (tufted capuchin), 465 nucleotides long. RefSeq lists it as uncharacterized. The transcript has 3 exons. Lineage: Eukaryota; Metazoa; Chordata; Mammalia; Primates; Cebidae. The record is from RefSeq and is a predicted model, not a curated record.
UAGUGGGCUGGCAUUGAGUGUCUGUGGCUUUUCCAGGUGCACAGUGCAAGCUGUAAGUGGAUCCACCAUUCUGGGAUCUGGAGAACGGUGGUCCUUUUCUCACAGCUCCACUUGAUGGUGCCCUAGAAGGGAGUCUGUGUGGGGGCUCCAACCUCACAUUUCCCUUCGGCACUGCCCUAGCAGAGGCUCUCUAUUAGGGUCCCGCCCCUGCAGCAAAUUUCUGCCUGGCCAUCCAGGCACUUUCAUACGUCUUCUGAAAUCUAGGCAGAGGUUCCCAAACCUCAAUUAUUGUGUACUCACAGGCUCAAUACUACAUGGAAGCUGCCAACGCUUGAGGCUUGCACCCUCUGAAGCUAUGGCCCAAGCUCUACUUUGGCCCCUUUCAGUCAUGGCUAGAGCAGCUGGGAUGCAGAACACCAAGUUCCAAGACUGUACAAAGCAACAAGAUCGGAAGAGCACACUUCU